GGGAUUGUAGCUCAGCUGGUUAGAGCGCACGCUUGAUAAGCGUGAGGUCGUUGGUUCAAGUCCAAUCAGUCCCA
Molecule: non-coding RNA, 74 nt
Organism: Trachymyrmex cornetzi
Lineage: Eukaryota; Metazoa; Arthropoda; Insecta; Hymenoptera; Formicidae
Source: Rfam